This 1383-nucleotide ribosomal RNA is filed under the name Lactiplantibacillus plantarum. Its description in RNAcentral is "bacterial SSU rRNA". It matches the Rfam family "Bacterial small subunit ribosomal RNA", at positions 61 to 1338 of the family's 1533-position model. The record is from RNAcentral. Lineage: Bacteria; Bacillati; Bacillota; Bacilli; Lactobacillales; Lactobacillaceae.
GUCGAACGAACUCUGGUAUUGAUUGGUGCUUGCAUCAUGAUUUACAUUUGAGUGAGUGGCGAACUGGUGAGUAACACGUGGGAAACCUGCCCAGAAGCGGGGGAUAACACCUGGAAACAGAAGCUAAUACCGCAUAACAACUUGGACCGCAUGGUCCGAGUUUGAAAGAUGGCUUCGGCUAUCACUUUUGGAUGGUCCCGCGGCGUAUUAGCUAGAUGGUGGGGUAACGGCUCACCAUGGCAAUGAUACGUAGCCGACCUGAGAGGGUAAUCGGCCACAUUGGGACUGAGACACGGCCCAAACUCCUACGGGAGGCAGCAGUAGGGAAUCUUCCACAAUGGACGAAAGUCUGAUGGAGCAACGCCGCGUGAGUGAAGAAGGGUUUCGGCUCGUAAAACUCUGUUGUUAAAGAAGAACAUAUCUGAGAGUAACUGUUCAGGUAUUGACGGUAUUUAACCAGAAAGCCACGGCUAACUACGUGCCAGCAGCCGCGGUAAUACGUAGGUGGCAAGCGUUGUCCGGAUUUAUUGGGCGUAAAGCGAGCGCAGGCGGUUUUUUAAGUCUGAUGUGAAAGCCUUCGGCUCAACCGAAGAAGUGCAUCGGAAACUGGGAAACUUGAGUGCAGAAGAGGACAGUGGAACUCCAUGUGUAGCGGUGAAAUGCGUAGAUAUAUGGAAGAACACCAGUGGCGAAGGCGGCUGUCUGGUCUGUAACUGACGCUGAGGCUCGAAAGUAUGGGUAGCAAACAGGAUUAGAUACCCUGGUAGUCCAUACCGUAAACGAUGAAUGCUAAGUGUUGGAGGGUUUCCGCCCUUCAGUGCUGCAGCUAACGCAUUAAGCAUUCCGCCUGGGGAGUACGGCCGCAAGGCUGAAACUCAAAGGAAUUGACGGGGGCCCGCACAAGCGGUGGAGCAUGUGGUUUAAUUCGAAGCUAAACUCAAAGGAAUUGACGGGGGCCCGCACAAGCGGUGGAGCAUGUGGUUUAAUUCGAAGCUACGCGAAGAACCUUACCAGGUCUUGACAUACUAUGCAAAUCUAAGAGAUUAGACGUUCCCUUCGGGGACAUGGAUACAGGUGGUGCAUGGUUGUCCUCACCUCCUGUCCUGAGAUGUUGGGUUAAGUCCCGCAACCAACGCAACCCUUAUUAUCAGUUGCCAGCAUUAAGUUGGGCACUCUGGGUGAGACUGCCGGUGACAAACCGGAGGAAAGGGGGGGGAUAACUUCAAAUCUUCUUGCCCCUUAUGACCGGGGCUACCACCUUGCUCCAAUGGAGGGGACAACCAAUUGGGGAACUCCGGGAGGAAGACCUAAUCCUUUAAAGCACUCUCCCACUUCCGGAAUUUAGGGCGCCAACUCGCCUCACAAAAAACGGGAAACCCCUUU